AUGAAAGGAUCCCUGAAGACUUCCUUAUGGAUUUUGUCUCUGGGAACACGGCUCAGCAGCAUGGACACAGAAACAGCAGUGGUGGCUGAUUGCAUUGAUCCAGAUUUGGAAGUUGUGUGGCAGUUAAAGCAGAAGGAUAAGACUGCUCUCUACCAAGAUCUCCAGAGCCUCACAUCGGUCAGUGCCCCCAAAGAGGCAGAGUCCGGCUUCAGGCCUCUAGCCUUCUCUCUUUUGGGGAAGAAAAUACCUCUACUCCGAAGGCAGCCAGCACAUAUUUUACUCACAACAGUCAGCAGAUGGCUGUGGAUCCCAGGAAUCACAUCAGGACAAAGCUCGCUGUGCAUUUUCCAUCACUGGUAG
Molecule: long non-coding RNA, 360 nt
Filed under: Bos indicus x Bos taurus (hybrid cattle)
Lineage: Eukaryota; Metazoa; Chordata; Mammalia; Artiodactyla; Bovidae
Description: lncRNA (ENSBIXG00005017532.1)
Source: RNAcentral